AACUAAUUAAUAAAAAAAUCCCUAAUAAGAGAAGAAAGAAACUCACGCUUUCCCCUCUUUCUUCUCGACCAUAACGCAUAAAUCAAACCCCUUUUCUCUCAUUUGAUUACUUCUCAAUCACUAGAGAACCUUUCGAUCAGUACAGAACCCCUCAACUCAACCUUCAAUCGAACGCUUCAACGCUCAAUUCAUCAAUCUCAUCAUUCGGACCUCAACCCUCAAUCUCUCACUUCAACCCAUUCGAAAAUAUCAGAAGCCCUUUCUUCCUUCUUUGACAUUUAAGAGACUCUUAACCUUUUGCUGGCUAGUGUUUUGGUAAUCAAACAAUCUCAUCUCACAGUUACUUAUUCUUCCCCAUCUCUCCAUGUAUCCUCUCAUCAACCCUUAUCUAGUCCACGAAAUCAUAAAUCUCUAAAACUCUUUCGAUAAAUUUCCGAGUCACGAAAUUUUGAAAGUGACAGCGAUGAUGUUUGUUGCAAUUGAUGAAGGUAGCAAUGUUUCUCGUAAUUCACAAAGACCUUUGGAGAAACUGAAGGAUUGGUUGCUAUGUGAAAAUCUAUAAGCAGAGUGAGUUUACUGAAAUAUACAACAGUUAGCUGUACACAUUUGACUUUAACUUCUGUAAGUUAUUCAAGAACAGAGCUUUUCUUAACAGCAAAAGGGCUGUGUUUAAGCAUACAAAGUCUAUUGGUCAAGCUGUGUCAAAGGAGUUCACUCCGGAAAGAUGGUUCUGCCUCUGGUCGAAGCAAUUGAUGUUUAUUUGGAAUGCGUAUAUAUGUAUGGAUUGUUUAUCAGCAACGCGCCUCAUGACAUGUCACCUUCUGUGGACCGUUCUCUUUUUGGAAUGUUUGCUUUGGGGUAUGGUCGUGAUCCUCCACUCACUCUAUGAGUAACUCUCGUCGGUUAAUCCGUUUCAUAGCUCUUUAGAUUUUAAUUUUAUCGAUUCAACUGUUGAAUUAUCUUAACGAAAAUGUAUAUAUUGUUUGAAAAGUAUAUUCAAGCAAUAAUGAAUACCUACAUUCAGCAAGCUUCCAAAAUGCAAUCAGUACCUCCUCAAGAAAUGCCUUUCCCUAAUUUUUUCUUUAGAUGAUUGAAACAAAAAUUGAAAUUUCAAGAGCAAAUUACACAUCAAAAUAUUAAUAUCUUUUCCGCAGCAGAA
Molecule: long non-coding RNA, 1159 nt
Organism: Medicago truncatula (barrel medic)
Lineage: Eukaryota; Viridiplantae; Streptophyta; Magnoliopsida; Fabales; Fabaceae
Exons: 5
Source: RefSeq, a predicted model, not a curated record